This 497-nucleotide ribosomal RNA is filed under the name uncultured bacterium. RNAcentral describes it as "partial 16S ribosomal RNA". It matches the Rfam family "Bacterial small subunit ribosomal RNA", at positions 28 to 507 of the family's 1533-position model. The record is from RNAcentral.
GAUGAACGCUGGCGGCGUGCCUAAUACAUGCAAGUCGAGCGAACAGACGAGGAGCUUGCUCCUCUGACGUUAGCGGCGGACGGGUGAGUAACACGUGGAUAACCUACCUAUAAGACUGGGAUAACUUCGGGAAACCGGAGCUAAUACCGGAUAAUAUAUUGAACCGCAUGGUUCAAUAGUGAAAGACGGUUUUGCUGUCACUUAUAGAUGGAUCCGCGCCGCAUUAGCUAGUUGGUAAGGUAACGGCUUACCAAGGCAACGAUGCGUAGCCGACCUGAGAGGGUGGUCGGCCACACUGGAACUGAGACACGGUCCAGACUCCUACGGGAGGCAGCAGUAGGGAAUCUUCCGCAAUGGGCGAAAGCCUGACGGAGCAACGCCGCGUGAGGGAUGAAGGUCUUCGGAUCGUAAAACUCUGUUAUUAGGGAAGAACAAAUGUGUAAGUAACUAUGCACGUCUUGACGGUACCUAAUCAGAAAGCCACGGCUAACUACGUG